GAUGAACGCUAGCUACAGGCUUAACACAUGCAAGUCGAGGGGAAACGAUAUUGGAAGCUUGCUUCUGAUAGGCGUCGACCGGCGCACGGGUGAGUAACGCGUAUCCAACCUGCCCAUCACUUGGGGAUAACCUUGCGAAAGUAAGACUAAUACCCAAUGAAGUCUCUAGAAGACAUCUGAAAGAGAUUAAAGAUUUAUCGGUGAUGGAUGGGGAUGCGUCUGAUUAGCUUGUUGGCGGGGUAACGGCCCACCAAGGCGACGAUCAGUAGGGGUUCUGAGAGGAAGGUCCCCCACAUUGGAACUGAGACACGGUCCAAACUCCUACGGGAGGCAGCAGUGAGGAAUAUUGGUCAAUGGACGAGAGUCUGAGCCAGCCAAGUAGCGUGCAGGAUGACGGCCCUAUGGGUUGUAAACUGCUUUUAUAAGGGAAUAAAGUGAGUCUCGUGAGACUUUUUGCAUGUACUUAUGAAUAAGGACCGGCU
RNAcentral lists this ribosomal RNA (482 nucleotides) under uncultured bacterium. RNAcentral describes it as "bacterial SSU rRNA". It matches the Rfam family "Bacterial small subunit ribosomal RNA", at positions 28 to 498 of the family's 1533-position model. The record is from RNAcentral.